Molecule: non-coding RNA, 121 nt
Filed under: Thioclava sp. SK-1
Lineage: Bacteria; Pseudomonadati; Pseudomonadota; Alphaproteobacteria; Rhodobacterales; Paracoccaceae
Also listed under: 1 other name
Description: TPP riboswitch aptamer (THI element)
Rfam family: TPP riboswitch aptamer (THI element)
About the family: Vitamin B(1) in its active form thiamin pyrophosphate (TPP) is an essential coenzyme that is synthesised by coupling of pyrimidine and thiazole moieties in bacteria. The previously detected thiamin-regulatory element, thi box was extended, resulting in a new, highly conserved RNA secondary structure, the THI element, which is widely distributed in eubacteria and also occurs in some archaea.
Source: Rfam by way of RNAcentral
GCGCUACGUCAGGGGAGUCCCGCCUAGGGGACUGAGAGGCAGAUAGGGGGCGACCCCGGUGAUGCGACCCUUUGAACCUGACCCAGUUGAUGCUGGCGUAGGAAGACCGAAGGGCAUUUUC